RNAcentral lists this unclassified non-coding RNA (223 nucleotides) under Cristinia helvetica. RNAcentral describes it as "partial internal transcribed spacer 2". Lineage: Eukaryota; Fungi; Basidiomycota; Agaricomycetes; Agaricales; Stephanosporaceae. The record is from RNAcentral.
AUUCAUCAACCUCAAAAUUUCUUUUGAACUUUCGAGGCUUGGUCUUGAGGGUUUGCGGGCUCUAGUAGUCAGCUCCCUUUAAAUCUAUUAGCGAGACUUCCCUCUGCUGACCGUCUCCGGCGUGAUAAUUAUCUACGUCGUUGUUGCGGUUCUCGUUGGGCUUGCUUCUAAUCGUCUUCGGACAACAGGAUUGAAGUGCAUAUAUGCGCCUCUUUUCGAACUA